UAAGCCAAGGAAGGAGCAGUACGUUAGCUAAGCCAAUGAAGGAGCAGUAGGUUAGCUAAGCCAAGGAAGGAGAAGUAGUUUAGCUGAGCCAAGGAAGGAGCAGUAGGUCAGCUGAGCCAAGGAAGGAGCAGUAGGUCAACUAAGCCAAGGAAGGAGCAGUAGGUCAGCUAAGCCAAGGAAGGAGCAGUAGGUCAGCUGAGCCAAGGAAGGAGCAGUAGGUCAGCUGAGCCAAGGAAGGAGCAGUAGGUCAGCUAAGCCAAGGAAGGAGCAGUAGGUUAGCUAAGCCAAGGAAGGAGCAGUAGGUUAGCUAAGCCAAGGAAGGAGCAGUAGGUUAGCUAAGCCAAGGAAGGAGCAGUAGGUUAGCUAAGCCAAGGAAGGAGCAGUAGGUUAGCUAAGCCAAGGAAGGAGCAGUAGGUUAGCUAAGCCAAGGAAGGAGCAGUAGGUUAGCUAAGCCAAGGAAGGAGCAGUAGGUUAGCUAAGCCAAGGAAGGAGCAGUAGGUUAGCUAAGCCUAGGAAGGAGCAGUAGGUCAGCUAAGCCAAGGAAGGAGCCAGUAGGUCAGCUUAGACAAACUGAGGAAGGAGCAGUAGGUUAGCUAAGGCAAGGAAGGAGCAGUAGGUCAGCUAAGCCAAGGAAGGAGCAGUAGGUCAGCUAAGCCAAGGAAGGAGCAGUAGGUCAGCUGAGCCAAGGAAGGAGCAGUAGGUCAGCUGAGCCAAGGAAGGAGCAGUAGGUCAGCUGAGCCAAGGAAGGAGCAGUAGGUCAGCUGAGCCAAGGAAGGAGCAGUAGGUCAGCUGAGCCAAGGAAGGAGCAGUAGGUCAGCUAAGCCAAGGAAGGAGCAGUAGGUCAGCUGAGCCAAGGAAGGAGCAGUAGGUCAGCUGAGCCAAGGAAGGAGCAGUAGGUCAGCUGAGCCAAGGAAGGAGCAGUAGGUCAGCUGAGCCAAGGAAGGAGCAGUAGGUCAGCUGAGCCAAGGAAGGAGCAGUAGGUCAGCUGAGCCAAGGAAGGAGCAGUAGGUCAGCUGAGCCAAGGAAGGAGCAGUAGGUCAGCUAAGCCAAGGAAGGAGCAGUAGGUCAGCUAAGCCAAGGAAGGAGCCAGUAGGUCAGCUAAGCCAAGGAAAGUGAGGAAGCAGCAGUAGCUAAGCUGAGGAAGGAGCAGUAGGUCAGCUAAGCCAAGGAAGGAGCAGUAGGUCAGCUGAGCCAAGGAAGGAGCAGUAGGUCAGCUGAGCCAAGGAAGGAGCAGUAGGUCAGCUAAGCCAAGGAAGGAGCAGUAGGUUAGCUAAGCCAAGGAAGGAGCAGUAGGUUAGCUAAGCCAAGGAAGGAGCAGUAGGUUAGCUAAGCCAAGGAAGGAGCAGUAGGUUAGCUAAGCCAAGGAAGGAGCAGUAGGUUAGCUAAGCCAAGGAAGGAGCAGUAGGUUAGCUAAGCCAAGGAAGGAGCAGUAGGUUAGCUAAGCCAAGGAAGGAGCAGUAGGUUAGCUAAGCCAAGGAAGGAGCAGUAGGUCAGCUGAGCCAAGGAAGGAGCAGUAGGUCAGCUGAGCCAAGGAAGGAGCAGUAGGUCAGCUGAGCCAAGGAAGGAGCAGUAGGUCAGCUAAGCCAAGGAAGGAGCAGUAGGUCAGCUAAGCCAAGGAAGGAGCAGUAGGUCAGCUAAGCCAA
Long non-coding RNA from Oncorhynchus keta (chum salmon), 1643 nucleotides. RefSeq lists it as uncharacterized. The record is from RefSeq and is a predicted model, not a curated record. The transcript has 5 exons. Lineage: Eukaryota; Metazoa; Chordata; Actinopteri; Salmoniformes; Salmonidae.